UACGGAGGGUGCGAGCGUUGUCCGGAUUUAUUGGGUUUAAAGGGUGCGUAGGUGGCUUUAUAAGUCAGUGGUGAAAUACAGCCGCUCAACGGUUGAGGUGCCAUUGAUACUGUAGAGCUUGAAAUAAUUGGAGGCUGCCGGAAUGGAUGGUGUAGCGGUGAAAUGCAUAGAUAUCAUCCAGAACACCGAUUGCGAAGGCAGGUGGCUACGAUUUAUUUGACACUGAUGCACGAAAGCAUGGGGAGCAAACAGG
This 253-nucleotide ribosomal RNA is filed under the name uncultured Dyadobacter sp. RNAcentral's name for it is "partial 16S ribosomal RNA". It matches the Rfam family "Bacterial small subunit ribosomal RNA", at positions 524 to 776 of the family's 1533-position model. Lineage: Bacteria; Pseudomonadati; Bacteroidota; Cytophagia; Cytophagales; Spirosomataceae. The record is from RNAcentral.